GUGGGUGAUCUGCCCUGCACUUCGGGAUAAGCUUGGGAAACUGGGUCUAAUACCGGAUAGGAGCCAUCUUUAGUGUGGUGGUGGAAAGUUUUUCGGUGUAGGAUGAGCUCGCGGCCUAUCAGCUUGUUGGUGGGGUAAUGGCCUACCAAGGCGGCGACGGGUAGCCGGCCUUAGAGGGUGUACGGCCACAUUGGGACUGAGAUACGGCCCAG
Molecule: ribosomal RNA, 212 nt
Filed under: uncultured Actinomycetales bacterium
Lineage: Bacteria; Bacillati; Actinomycetota; Actinomycetes; Actinomycetales
Description: partial 16S ribosomal RNA
Rfam family: Bacterial small subunit ribosomal RNA
Source: RNAcentral